UACGUAGGGGGCAAGCGUUAUCCGGAUUUACUGGGUGUAAAGGGGGCGCAGACGGCGAUGCAAGCCAGGAGUGAAAGCCCGGGGCCCAACCCCGGGACUGCUCUUGGAACUGCGUGGCUGGAGUGCAGGAGGGGCAGGCGGAAUUCCUGGUGUAGCGGUGAAAUGCGUAGAUAUCAGGAGGAACACCGGCGGCGAAGGCGGCUUACUGGACUGUAACUGACGUUGAGGCUCGAAAGCGUGGGGAGCAAACAGG
RNAcentral lists this ribosomal RNA (253 nucleotides) under uncultured bacterium. RNAcentral describes it as "partial 16S ribosomal RNA". It matches the Rfam family "Bacterial small subunit ribosomal RNA", at positions 524 to 776 of the family's 1533-position model. The record is from RNAcentral.